RNAcentral lists this ribosomal RNA (658 nucleotides) under bacterium SC1-23. RNAcentral's name for it is "bacterial SSU rRNA". It matches the Rfam family "Bacterial small subunit ribosomal RNA", at positions 338 to 974 of the family's 1533-position model. The record is from RNAcentral.
CCUACGGGAGGCAGCAGUAGGGAAUCUUCCGCAAUGGACGAAAGUCUGACGGAGCAACUGCCGCGGUCGAGUUGUAUGAAGGUUAUUCGGAUCAGUAGGAGAGGCUUCUGUUCGUUAGGGAAGAACAAGUGCAAGAGUAACUGCUUGCACCUUGACGGUACCUAACCAGAAAGCCACGGCUAACUACGUGCCAGCAGCCGCGGUAAUACGUAGGUGGCAAGCGUUGUCCGGAAUUAUUGGGCGUAAAGGGCUCGCAGGCGGUUUCUUAAGUCUGAUGUGAAAGCCCCCGGCUCAACCGGGGAGGGUCAUUGGAAACUGGGAAACUUGAGUGCAGAAGAGGAGAGUGGAAUUCCACGUGUAGCGGUGAAAUGCGUAGAGAUGUGGAGGAACACCAGUGGCGAAGGCGACUCUCUGGUCUGUAACUGACGCUGAGGAGCGAAAGCGUGGGGAGCGAACAGGAUUAGAUACCCUGGUAGUCCACGCCGUAAACGAUGAGUGCUAAGUGUUAGGGGGUUUCCGCCCCUUAGUGCUGCAGCUAACGCAUUAAGCACUCCGCCUGGGGAGUACGGUCGCAAGACUGAAACUCAAAGGAAUUGACGGGGGCCCGCACAAGCGGUGGAGCAUGUGGUUUAAUUCGAAGCAACGCGAAGAACCUUAC